GUGUCAGCCGCCGCGGUAAUACGGAGGGGGCUAGCGUUGUUCGGAAUUACUGGGCGUAAAGCGCACGUAGGCGGACCAGAAAGUUGGGGGUGAAAUCCCGGGGCUCAACCUCGGAACUGCCUUCAAAACUAUUGGUCUUGAGUUCGAGAGAGGUGAGUGGAAUUCCGAGUGUAGAGGUGAAAUUCGUAGAUAUUCGGAGGAACACCAGUGGCGAAGGCGGCUCACUGGCUCGAUACUGACGCUGAGGUGCGAAAGCGUGGGGAGCAAACAGGAUUAGAUACCCCAGUAGUCC
This 292-nucleotide ribosomal RNA is filed under the name uncultured prokaryote. Its description in RNAcentral is "partial 16S ribosomal RNA". It matches the Rfam family "Bacterial small subunit ribosomal RNA", at positions 505 to 796 of the family's 1533-position model. The record is from RNAcentral.